RNAcentral lists this ribosomal RNA (1331 nucleotides) under Niphargus sp. ND833. RNAcentral describes it as "partial large subunit ribosomal RNA". It matches the Rfam family "Eukaryotic large subunit ribosomal RNA", at positions 1357 to 2109 of the family's 3401-position model. Lineage: Eukaryota; Metazoa; Arthropoda; Malacostraca; Amphipoda; Niphargidae. The record is from RNAcentral.
AAGGCUUCAGUACGACCCAGUCAGAACUAUAAGUCUCAAAGCCCCGACGAGUAGGGUGGCGUGCCGGUGCGCGUUGAAGGCCAAGACGUGAGUCAGGCUGGAGCCGCCGGUACUGCAGAUCUUGGUGGUAGUAGCAAGUACUCUGGUGAACCAACCUGGAGCUGUGAGGUCUGGAUUAGGGUUCCAUGUCAACAGUGAUUGAACAUGGGUGAGUCGAACCUAAGCCAACUGUGAAAGCAGUGACAUCCCGACAAAGGGGCACUGCAGGUGCUGCACUUACACCCCCAAAGCAAAGCUCUCGUAUUGCUCUCUCUCUCACUCAAAGUCUCUCUGGCUAUAAGGUGUCUGGCAAGGAAUACAAGCACACACACUAUGAUCACUAUACAAAAAUACGUGUGAGUGUGUGUGCGGUGCGGUCUGAUCUGGUAACGGAAUAGUUGAGCACACACACACGAUAAUCACUACAAGUGAGUGUGUGUGCGCGCGUGCGCGCGCUGGUCUGGUUACGCUCAUAAGCGUUGUUGUGCUCUGGCAAAUGGAUAAACAAGGUGGCAUACAUAAAACGAGAGAGAGAAACGGAGUGGGUGAGCGUGAGUGUUUGCUCUUGCAUUAUUAGCUCCUGCGUCUGGUUCUAUGUCCGGCGAAAGGGAAUGGGGACUUUGUUCCUUGACCGGUCCUGGCACCCUCGAUUGGCUUUGCCAAUUAAUGGUCCAUGCAAAUGGAACCAGGCCACAGCCGUCGGCAGUCGCCCGAGGAAGAGUUUUCUUUUCUGCUUAACGCACGAGGUCAUUCCUGGAAACAGUUCGGCUGGCGAAAGGGUGCCCCGCUGCGGCAGAGCGCCACGACUGUCGUGCGCGUCUCGGUGUUCCUGCUGAUCCGUGAAGACGUGGUCGAGGGGAUUGCUCUUGUAUCAACGAAACGCCCGACAAGUUCGGGACGGACCGUACCCUAUAUCCGCAUCUGGUCUCCAAGGUUCUUAGCCUCUGCAGAGUCAGACACAUGUAGGUAAGGGAAGUCGGCAAACUCGAUCCGUAACUUCGGGAAAAGGAUUGGCUCUGAGGGCCGAGCUGGGCCGGGCCUUGCCUGCAAAGCAGUACCUAUAGUGACCGGAGUUUCAGGAGUGCGAGGGGCUCUAGUAGCUGCUUGUGCGUGUGUGCGUUCGCGCGUGCACGCGUGUGGGCACGAACGGGUCCACCGCUCCGCUCCAACCACGAACGGCUGUGACGGCAAGGGCUCUGGGCGGGAGCGAUCGAUCCGUUGGCCCCAGCUCGUCUGGGGUGGCGGCGGUGCUCUGUCUGACCCAUACGGCUCCAGCGGCUAGCGGCUAACUC